Molecule: ribosomal RNA, 509 nt
Filed under: uncultured bacterium
Lineage: Bacteria
Description: partial 16S ribosomal RNA
Rfam family: Bacterial small subunit ribosomal RNA
Source: RNAcentral
UGGGGAAUAUUGCACAAUGGGCGAAAGCCUGAUGCAGCAACGCCGCGUGAGUGAUGAAGGUCUUCGGAUUGUAAAGCUCUGUCUUUUGGGACGAUAAUGACGGUACCAAAGGAGGAAGCCACGGCUAACUACGUGCCAGCAGCCGCGGUAAUACGUAGGUGGCGAGCGUUGUCCGGAUUUACUGGGCGUAAAGGGUGCGUAGGCGGAUGUUUAAGUGAGAUGUGAAAUACCCGGGCUUAACUUGGGUGCUGCAUUUCAAACUGGAUAUCUAGAGUGCAGGAGAGGAGAAUGGAAUUCCUAGUGUAGCGGUGAAAUGCGUAGAGAUUAGGAAGAACACCAGUGGCGAAGGCGAUUCUCUGGACUGUAACUGACGCUGAGGCACGAAAGCGUGGGUAGCAAACAGGAUUAGAUACCCUGGUAGUCCACGCCGUAAACGAUGAGUACUAGGUGUAGGAGGUAUCGACCCCUUCUGUGCCGCAGUAAACACAUUAAGUACUCCGCCUGGGAAG